RNAcentral lists this ribosomal RNA (403 nucleotides) under bacterium. Its description in RNAcentral is "partial 16S ribosomal RNA". It matches the Rfam family "Bacterial small subunit ribosomal RNA", at positions 355 to 776 of the family's 1533-position model. The record is from RNAcentral.
UGGGGAAUAUUGCACAAUGGGGGAAACCCUGAUGCAGCGACGCCGCGUGAACGAAGAAGGUAUUCGUAUCGUAAAGUUCUGUCCUAUGGGAAGAUAAUGACAGUACCAUAGAAGAAAGCUCCGGCUAAAUACGUGCCAGCAGCCGCGGUAAUACGUAUGGAGCGAGCGUUGUCCGGAAUUAUUGGGCGUAAAGGGUACGCAGGCGGUUUAAUAAGUCGAAUGUUAAAGAUCGGGGCUCAACCCCGCAAAGCAUUGGAAACUGAUAAACUUGAGUAGUGGAGAGGAAAGUGGAAUUCCUAGUGUAGUGGUGAAAUACGUAGAUAUUAGGAGGAAUACCAGUAGCGAAGGCGACUUUCUGGACACAAACUGACGCUGAGGUACGUAAGCGUGGGGAGCAAACAGG